Molecule: long non-coding RNA, 1239 nt
Filed under: Phaseolus vulgaris (common bean)
Lineage: Eukaryota; Viridiplantae; Streptophyta; Magnoliopsida; Fabales; Fabaceae
Description: long non-coding RNA (PVUL_LNC005349)
Source: RNAcentral
AAAAAAUGAGUUUGAGAGAUGAACACAUUAAUAACAACCAACAUCAAGGAAUAAAACAAGUCUAAGCCUAAGGUUUAAAGCACCUAAAUAAAUAACUUUAACUACAAAAUUAUAAUAGAUAUGUCCAUAAGAUACCAUGACCAUGAUUUCCAUCAAUUUUGACAUGUAAUGCUAAUGAAGUUUUAAUUAUUCUUUUGGUCCCUAUUGUUGCAACAGUUCCCCUUUUAGCCCUUAUAACCUAAAACAUCUAAUUUUGGUCCCUGUAUUUGCAUCUAUUUACCCUUUCGUCCUCCUUGCCAAGUGUUGGCUAACAUUGUUUGAAAUGAAUGAGAUGUGGUUCAUUUAAUCAACAUUAAUCUGAAAUGUCGUUGUAUGACUUUAGAGAACAAUGACCCAAAGGGUAAAAACAUGGCAAUUAUAGGAACCAGAAGAGAAUGUUUUAAACUAUAGCAACUAAAAUGGAAAGUUGUUGCAAUUGUAGGUACCAAAUGGUAAUUAAACCUUAUCGGGUGCAUUGUAAAAGGACUUUUUUUUUUAUCCAAAGGGAUGGCAAUGGCGCGGGACAAGUGCGGGUUUUACUAUCUCAUCCCAUCCUUGAAGUAAACAUUCAUCCCCAUUCCCAUCCUUAUAUCCAACAAUUAUGAAUUUUUUGUCUCAUCCCCAUGCCCAUCAAGGAACAUGUGUAUACUUGUACCCAACCCAUACUUGCCCCUUUGCUAUUUCACAUUAGUGUUAUCAAUAUUUGAUUUGAUAAUGGAAAAUAUCAAUCCUUUAUGAAGUUAUAACAAAAACCAUAACGGGUUAUGGCAGAAGCAUUGCGUCAAAAGAAAUUCAAUAUAUAAAUACACCACAAAUUUCAAACUUAAAAUAGCAACAAAACAUUUCCAACUAAGCUGCUCCACACCUCAUCUCAUCUAAUUUCUUGAUUUUCCACUGUCACCACAGCCUCAUCAAACCUCGUGCAACAACCACACAACCUCAUUAGAUCUUGUGUUGCCGUUGCAAGCCUCCUUCUCUCCGUCUUUUAUGCCAUCUUUGUUCACUGCUAGUAUCUCAUGAUGCAAAAAGUGGCUGCCAUGACAAACUCGCAUUGCCAUUGCCAUGUUGUGGCAUUGAUUAGAAAUUCCUCUGUCAGUUUUCACCAUAAUUGGUUUUGAAUAACAUUGUUUCACAUUAUUAAGAAAACCUCUAAUGUCUAGUCGACAUGAGAUAUCCAACACACCCUUCUCACGUUGAAAC